RNAcentral lists this ribosomal RNA (253 nucleotides) under uncultured bacterium. RNAcentral describes it as "partial 16S ribosomal RNA". It matches the Rfam family "Bacterial small subunit ribosomal RNA", at positions 524 to 776 of the family's 1533-position model. The record is from RNAcentral.
UACGAAGGGGGCUAGCGUUGCUCGGAAUCACUGGGCGUAAAGGGUGCGUAGGCGGGUUUUUAAGUCAGAGGUGAAAUCCUGGAGCUCAACUCCAGAACUGCCUUUGAUACUGAAAGUCUUGAGUAUGGGAGAGGUGAGUGGAACUGCGAGUGUAGAGGUGAAAUUCGUAGAUAUUCGCAAGAACACCAGUGGCGAAGGCGGCUCACUGGCCCAUUACUGACGCUGAGGCACGAAGGCCAGGGGAGCAAACGGG